AAGAUUUUCCCAUGGCGCCUGUUUAUCAAAAACAUGGUUUUUUGAUGUUAUAAAAAAUCUAACCUGCUCAAUGCAUAUGUAAAUAGCCGCAGUAUUUUAACUGUGCUAAGGUAGCAUAAUCAUUUGUCUUUUAAAUUAAGUCUAGAAUGAAGGGUUGGACGAAGGAAAAGCUGUCUUUUUGUUAUAUAAUGAAUUUAAUUAAUUAGUAAAAAGGCUAAUAUAGAUUUGAGGGACGAUAAGACCCUAUUAAACUUGAUUUUUAUAAUUUUGCUGGGGCGGUAAUUUAAGAUGAAGAUCUUAUUUAAAUAGAAUAUAAUUUGUUGAUCCAAUAUUAUUGAGGAAAAGAUAAAGUUACUAUAGGGAUAACAGCUUAAUUUUCUUUUGAAGUUCAUAUUUAGAAAAAAGUUUAAGACCUCGAUGUUGAAUUAAAGAUAUCUUUUUAGUGAAGCAGUUAAAAUAAGAAAGUCUGUUCGACUUUUAAAUCUUUACGUGAUCUGAGUUCAGACCGGCCAUGGGAGC
Molecule: ribosomal RNA, 519 nt
Filed under: Songthela sp. XUX-2011-194
Lineage: Eukaryota; Metazoa; Arthropoda; Arachnida; Araneae; Liphistiidae
Description: partial 16S ribosomal RNA
Rfam family: Bacterial large subunit ribosomal RNA
Source: RNAcentral